ACAGAUAUGAAAUCCUUCUACCAUACGGAACAGUCCAAAGGGAAAUUUAUGAACAAUAUAAAAAGGAUGUUGAAAAUCCGGUGUGAAAGAGCCAGUUUUAUAAAAAGUGGAAGGAGAAUUUUCAGUUUGUAAAGGCUAAAAAGACAAAUAGCUUUACCAGAUGUACAACAUGUGUGACAUUGGAAAGGCAGCUCACGAAAACCACAUGUACAGAAAUGCGGGCAUUCUAUAGACAAAAGAAAGAAGAACAUAACCUUCGUCAGAUGUUUGAGAGGAAAACCUAUUACAGUAAGCGUGAACUGGCUCAACAAAGCCCUAGGCAGCACAUGUCCAUUAUUAUUGAUGGCAUGGAUCAAG
Long non-coding RNA from Dreissena polymorpha, 357 nucleotides. RefSeq lists it as uncharacterized. NCBI's taxonomy places the organism in Eukaryota, Metazoa, Mollusca, Bivalvia, Myida, Dreissenidae. The transcript is spliced from 3 exons. The record is from RefSeq and is a predicted model, not a curated record.